Long non-coding RNA from Ailuropoda melanoleuca (giant panda), 433 nucleotides. RefSeq lists it as uncharacterized. The transcript is spliced from 3 exons. Lineage: Eukaryota; Metazoa; Chordata; Mammalia; Carnivora; Ursidae. The record is from RefSeq and is a predicted model, not a curated record.
GCCAGGCAGGGGACAGGUGGGUGCCGGUCAAGAAAGUCAUCCCAGAAGAACCAUAUUUGAACUAAAUCCCAACACCACAAAAGAAUCAGCAAGGUGAAGAGAGAAGAGGAGGCAACCUGACUCCAGUGGGAAUCUAACCAUCCAUCCAACCAUCCAUCCAGCCAGCCAGCCAUCCAUCCAUCCAUCACUGAGUGCCCAGGACACUCUCCGACACCGAACAAGACCUACAGACCACCUGCCCUCAGGAGUUAACACUCUAGUGGGAGAACACAGACGACCAACAGCCUCAAGAACAAAACAGGGGUGUGUCGGUGGGUCAGAGCUGUGAAGAAGGGACAGCUGCUUGAAGGGACAGUCUCCCCCAGUCCAGGGUUCCCAGGAACCAGGGGACCAGCCAACAACAUCACCCCUAUUUCCCACUGCCCUGUUCGCU